RNAcentral lists this ribosomal RNA (253 nucleotides) under uncultured bacterium. RNAcentral's name for it is "partial 16S ribosomal RNA". It matches the Rfam family "Bacterial small subunit ribosomal RNA", at positions 524 to 776 of the family's 1533-position model. The record is from RNAcentral.
UACGUAGGGUGCGAGCGUUAAUCGGAAUUACUGGGCGUAAAGCGUGCGCAGGCGGUUCGUUGUGUCCGAUGUGAAAGCCCUGAGCUCAACUUGGGAAUGGCAUUGGAAACUGGCGGGCUGGAGUGUGGCAGAGGGGGGUGGAAUUCCACGUGUAGCAGUGAAAUGCGUAGAGAUGUGGAGGAACACCGAUGGCGAAGGCAGCCCCCUGGGCCAACACUGACGCUCAGGCACGAAAGCGUGGGGAGCAAACAGG